GGGGAUAUAGCUCAGUUGGUAGAGUGCUUGCCUUGCAAGCACAAGGCCCUGGGUUCAAUCCCCAGCACCG
This 70-nucleotide transfer RNA is filed under the name Sciurus carolinensis (gray squirrel). It matches the Rfam family "tRNA". From Rfam's summary of the family: Transfer RNA (tRNA) molecules are approximately 80 nucleotides in length. The record is from Rfam by way of RNAcentral. RNAcentral also lists the same sequence under 2 other names. Lineage: Eukaryota; Metazoa; Chordata; Mammalia; Rodentia; Sciuridae.